CCUACGGGUGGCAGCAGUGGGGAAUAUUGGACAAUGGGGGCAACCCUGAUCCAGCCAUGCCGCGUGUAUGAAGAAGGCCCUCGGGUUGUAAAGCACUUUCAGUGAGGAAGAACGCCUGGUGGUUAAUACCCAUCAGGAAAGACAUCACUCACAGAAGAAGCACCGGCUAACUCCGUGCCAGCAGCCGCGGUAAUACGGAGGGUGCGAGCGUUAAUCGGAAUUACUGGGCGUAAAGCGCGCGUAGGUGGCUUGAUAAGCCGGUUGUGAAAGCCCCGGGCUCAACCUGGGAACGGCAUCCGGAACUGUCAAGCUAGAGUGCAGGAGAGGAAGGUAGAAUUCCCGGUGUAGCGGUGAAAUGCGUAGAGAUCGGGAGGAAUACCAGUGGCGAAGGCGGCCUUCUGGACUGACACUGACACUGAGGUGCGAAAGCGUGGGUAGCAAACAGGAUUAGAUACCCUGGUAGUC
RNAcentral lists this ribosomal RNA (465 nucleotides) under Vreelandella stevensii. RNAcentral describes it as "partial 16S ribosomal RNA". It matches the Rfam family "Bacterial small subunit ribosomal RNA", at positions 338 to 795 of the family's 1533-position model. The record is from RNAcentral. Lineage: Bacteria; Pseudomonadati; Pseudomonadota; Gammaproteobacteria; Oceanospirillales; Halomonadaceae.